AUACGAAAAGAGCAAAACCCUGGGAGAACAGGGGACGCAAAGGGAGGGUCUUUAGCUUACAUGGAUGUAAAAAAGACAACCUUACUUCCAAAAAAGAUAGCCUUACUGCCGAA
Molecule: non-coding RNA, 113 nt
Filed under: Candidatus Brocadia
Lineage: Bacteria; Pseudomonadati; Planctomycetota; Candidatus Brocadiia; Candidatus Brocadiales; Candidatus Brocadiaceae
Also listed under: 1 other name
Description: c-di-GMP sequence
Rfam family: c-di-GMP-I riboswitch aptamer
About the family: GEMM was predicted in a large-scale screen for bacterial structured RNA regulatory elements.
Source: RNAcentral